AACCGCCGUAUACGGACCCGUAUGUACGGUGGUGUGGGAGGAGGCUGAUCGUGAGAUCAGCCCCUAUCCCGAU
RNAcentral lists this unclassified non-coding RNA (73 nucleotides) under Kosakonia oryziphila. Lineage: Bacteria; Pseudomonadati; Pseudomonadota; Gammaproteobacteria; Enterobacterales; Enterobacteriaceae. The record is from RNAcentral.